Molecule: long non-coding RNA, 830 nt
Organism: Asparagus officinalis (garden asparagus)
Lineage: Eukaryota; Viridiplantae; Streptophyta; Magnoliopsida; Asparagales; Asparagaceae
Exons: 5
Source: RefSeq, a predicted model, not a curated record
ACCCCACCACUUAAAGGAAAUCUCUCUCUCUCAAAUCCCUAAAAUCGCCGCCGCCAUGGCCAAAAAAUUCCGUCGCUGAAUUCGUCUCUCUCUCUCUCAAAAAUUCCGCCAUGGCCUAAAAUCGGCGAUCUCAUCGAUCACUGAAUUCGCCGCUGUGUUCAUCGUGAAUCUCAUCUCCUAUCUCCUCUCUGAUAUCAUCUUCGAGCCCAGUCCUCGCCGGAGAUUUCUAGGGUUUCAGCUGGUACUCGGUGUUCUCAUUGUGCUUGGGUUGGGAACUGCGUUUCGGCUUGCAUUGGAGUGCUGCCAAGACUGGGGAUCUCGAAGACACGUGCACGGCAUAAAUAUACUUUUAAUCACUUCUCUUUGAGUGAUGGAAACAGUUGGUGAUUCUAGAUCAAGUUCAAAAGAGAAGAGAUCAUUUGAGGAAUUGUCAUUUGAAUGAAAAGCAAAAGGGCUUGUUUGAUGGAGACCCUUAGCAAUCUGUAGCCACCUAUUUUACUCAAAUGGAAGGUUUUGAUGCAGGUACAGAAAUGAUGAAAGCCAAGAUUGAGAUUGAUACUGACAGGUUCCUAGUGAGUAUUUGACAUUGAGGAACAAGUUUUUAGAAACAAAUAGAGAAUAUAGUCUUUGACCGAGAAGUUUCAUGUUUUGUAAUCAAAUGUUGAUGUACAUUGUUUGAAAGUUAGUUCGGUACGAUAUUUUCUGAGUUGAAAUGUUGGUAGUGUGGAUUUAAUACUUUGUAGUUUUUAUACUAUACUGAUGUAUGUUGGCACUUAUCAUUAUGGUUGAUUAUGCUCAACAUAAUCACUUUUAUAUUGUGUAUUAAAAUU